AUGACUCAUUCGCUUGUU
Molecule: small nuclear RNA, 18 nt
Filed under: Arabidopsis thaliana (thale cress)
Lineage: Eukaryota; Viridiplantae; Streptophyta; Magnoliopsida; Brassicales; Brassicaceae
Description: snRNA_14207
Source: RNAcentral